This is a long non-coding RNA of Mytilus californianus (California mussel), 980 nucleotides long. RefSeq lists it as uncharacterized. The transcript has 3 exons. The record is from RefSeq and is a predicted model, not a curated record. Lineage: Eukaryota; Metazoa; Mollusca; Bivalvia; Mytilida; Mytilidae.
UGGAUUCAUCUUAUACUUCAUGAAAGGUGUAGAGGAAGAAGAAAACAACGCUAAAAUGCCAGCUAAGAAAAGAAAGCCACAAGAGACUGCUGAUAGCAAAGAAACUGCAAAAAAGAGUCCGUCGAAAAAAUCGAAGAAAGCCACCGAAACACACGAUUUCAAACUCGUUGUUGAAUAUUGCAAAUCCUGACAAGUAUUCAAGCGCAGGGCUGAAACAGUAGUAGCAGACUUGCGCCAGAUCUUUGGUGAGGUGGAAGUUGAGUUCAAUCCUUCCAAACCUCGCCGUGGAAGUUUUGAAUUUACCCUUGUUAAGGGUGGAAAGGAAACUUUGAUAUGGACAGGAGUAAAGAAAGGGCCACCAAGAAAGAUGAAAUUCCCGGAAACACCAGAUCUAAUUAUUGAGGAAGUCAAAAAGAACCUAUAAAUUGUGUAAAUUGUAUAUAAAUAGAAGAACAUGAUCCUUGCAAGAACUCAACACAUAACGGAGAGUAUGGAUGGGGUCCUUUAUUUCUGUUUUCUUUAAAUUUUAGGGCAUUUUUCUUUAUCUUCCAAAAUAAUGCUUACUCUGUAAAAUUCUCAGGAAAAUGAUUUUACCAUUAAAAUGUUCUAUAGUUAGAUGAUUUCUUUAUUCAGUUAAUCAUUAUCAGUAUUAUAAUACCUAAUUCCUUUAUUUUCGAGUCAUUCUCUAUACUAUUGAUCCUCAUUAUUCUCUAUUCUUUAUAUUUUUUUUGCCAUUAUUCUCUAUUCUGUAAACCCCAUCCAGACCCUCAUAAUGUACAUUCAUCAUGAACAUAAUGUAGAAUAUUACAUCCUUGUUGUUUCAACUUGAUUGAUGUUUUUUGUUUUUGAAGUUUUAAUGAAGGGAAUAAGUACAAAGGGAGAUUACUCUCUACUUAUUUCUGGAACAGAUGUAUAACUUCUAGCAAGAACAUAGAUUGAUUUGUUAUAAACUUAACAAUUGCAGAUAUUUUAGGUAGAUU